Molecule: ribosomal RNA, 254 nt
Filed under: uncultured bacterium
Lineage: Bacteria
Description: partial 16S ribosomal RNA
Rfam family: Bacterial small subunit ribosomal RNA
Source: RNAcentral
UACAGAGGUCUCAAGCGUUGUUCGGAUUCAUUGGGCGUAAAGGGCGCGUAGGCUGCGGGGCAAGUCGGGUGUGAAAUCUCAGAGCUCAACUCUGAAACUGCACUCGAUACUGCUUUGCUCGAGGACUGGAGAGGAGAUUGGAAUUCACGGUGUAGCAGUGAAAUGCGUAGAUAUCGUGAGGAAGACCAGUGGCGAAGGCGGCAUCCUGGACCAACACUGACGCUGAGUGAGCGAAAGCCAGGGGAGCAAACGGG